This 433-nucleotide ribosomal RNA is filed under the name uncultured bacterium. RNAcentral's name for it is "partial 16S ribosomal RNA". It matches the Rfam family "Bacterial small subunit ribosomal RNA", at positions 29 to 507 of the family's 1533-position model. The record is from RNAcentral.
AACGAACGCUGGCGGCAUGCCUAAUACAUGCAAGUCGAACGAGAUCUUCGGAUCUAGUGGCGCACGGGUGCGUAACGCGUGGGAAUCUGCCCUUGGGUUCGGAAUAACUUCUGGAAACGGAAGCUAAUACCGGAUGAUGACGUAAGUCCAAAGAUUUAUCGCCCAAGGAUGAGCCCGCGUAGGAUUAGGUAGUUGGUGAGGUAAAGGCUCACCAAGCCGACGAUCCUUAGCUGGUCUGAGAGGAUGAUCAGCCACACUGGGACUGAGACACGGCCCAGACUCCUACGGGAAGCAGCAGUAGGGAAUAUUGGACAAGGGGCGAAAGCCUGAUCCAGCAAUGCCGCGUGAGUGAUGAAGGCCUUAGGGUUGUAAAGCUCUUUUACCCGGGAUGAUAAUGACAGUACCGGGAGAAUAAGCUCCGGCUAACUCCGUG